Molecule: non-coding RNA, 594 nt
Organism: Cricetulus griseus (Chinese hamster)
Lineage: Eukaryota; Metazoa; Chordata; Mammalia; Rodentia; Cricetidae
Source: RefSeq, a predicted model, not a curated record
UGUAGAGACUGCUGCUGUGCCAGCUGGCUAGGUCGCUCUCAGAAAACAAUCUUCCAAUGUGUCUGUUAUGUUGUUCAAAAGAGACACCUUUCUGCGGCAUGACGAAAAUGUCUCAUGUGAGGAUGGAUUCUCCAUCUCAUCUUCCUUUUAGAUCUCCAGCUAGAUUCUACUGGAGCGGAAUAGACUUAACAGAGAACCCUCUCACAUUCUGCUGAAGGAAAUGGGAGCUGAUGGUGACAUUAGGGGAAACAGAAACUUCAAGGAGCUCUUGACCCAGGCUGAGGCCUGUAUCCUGCCUGUGCAGCACACAUGGCCUCAGUAUGUUAGAAGAUCAGCAAUGAACAUGGAUGAGCAAGUAUUCGAGAAGGAUAUAGUGUCCCUUGGGUGUAUGCCCAAGAGUGAUAUAGCUAGAUCCUGGUAUAUCCAUUUCUAACCAUCUGAGAAGCCUACGCACUGAUUUUCAUAGUGACUUCACCGGUUUGCAAUACUACCAGCAGAGAAUUGGGCUUCCUCUUUCCCCACCUUCACAGUGCUAUUUUUGUCCUUUUUAAAAAUCAUUUCUACUCUGAUUAAGGUAAAAUGAAAUCUCUCUGA